AUUGAACGCUGGCGGCAGGCCUAACACAUGCAAGUCGAACGAGUGGCGGACGGGUGAGUAAUGUCUGGGAAACUGCCUGAUGGCGGGGGAUAACUACUGGAAACGGUAGCUAAUACCGCAUACCAUCAGAGGGGCCCAGAUGGGAUUAGCUAGUUGGUGGGGUAACGGCUCACCAAGGCGACGAUCCCUAGCUGGUCUGAGAGGAUGACCAGCCACACUGGAACUGAGACACGGUCCAGACUCCUACGGGAGGCAGCAGUGGGGAAUAUUGGACAAUGGGCGCAAGCCUGAUGCAGCCAUGCCGCGUGUAGGAAGAAGGCCUUCGGGUUGUAAAGUACUUUCGGCAGGGAGGCGUUACCCGCAGAAGAAGCACCGGCUAACUCCGUGCCAGCAGCCGCGGUAAUUC
Molecule: ribosomal RNA, 406 nt
Filed under: uncultured bacterium
Lineage: Bacteria
Description: partial 16S ribosomal RNA
Rfam family: Bacterial small subunit ribosomal RNA
Source: RNAcentral